Arachis ipaensis is the source of this 3401-nucleotide non-coding RNA. Lineage: Eukaryota; Viridiplantae; Streptophyta; Magnoliopsida; Fabales; Fabaceae. The record is from RefSeq and is a predicted model, not a curated record.
UGGGUCUGAAAUGGUUUAUUCUUGUUUUGUAAUCUAUGAUUAGCUUCAGGAACCACUUUGUUGGAUGUUGCUGAAUUGCUAUAACUAGCGAAUGGAUGUUUCUGUAGUUAGAAUUACUACUUUGAAUGUUGGUUUGAUAUUGUAUUAACUGAGAACUGUUCUGAUGUUGCAUAUGAUGUUUGUAUAGGAGUUUCCGUUAAAUGUUUAGGGGCUAUUUUCUGUGACACCGUAGCAGGAUUGAUUUGCAGCAAAACCAACCAACAUGGGGAAAAAGAAAUUGUUAGAGUCCCGAUGCUCACCCAGCUACAUUCAUAACAUGAUGAGAACGCUAUCUAAUAAUAACUCCGUUGAGAAGCUUGCGGAGAUUGAUGAGAUUGGAUUCAGAUUCUUGCGGCGUGUUCCAAAUUGGUCUGUAAAGCAAGCAAUCAUGGUUCAUCUGGCUGAGUCGUAUCAAGUAAAGCAGAGAACUUUUGUACUCGACAUAGGCAACAUUCGCCUCAAUGCCGAGCUAAUCGGGAAGGUCUUCGGCCUUCCGUCUCAAGGGGAUCCAUUUCCAGCUCUCGAUGAGAGUAAUCCGUCCCACGUGGCCAUUCAAAAAAGGUUCCAUAGACGGACAACAACCGAGCUUCGGGAUUUAGUUUACAGUUGUCCAAUGGCCACAGAAUCAGAUAGGAUGGAGUUCAGGAGGUACUUUCUACUGGUGGUGAUGAAAAUGUUCCUGUGCCCCACCACUCAACAGGUUCUCUCUCCAUGGCACAUCUACGCAGUGUUAGAUGUUUCUGAUCCGAGGAGAUUCAACUAGCCGUUGGAAACUAUGAAGUGGUUUGACAAGGCAGUCGAAAAGUAUAAGCUGAAAGGGAACAAAACGUGUGAAGGCUGCAUGUUCGUCAUGCUGAUCCUCUAUUUUCAGCGGUUGCAAUACGGUCUGCUCGAAAAUUGUCUUGAGCCUGAGCCAUGGCUCGAUGCGUGGAGCUCGGAGAGGCUAGAAAAAAAGGCGCAGUAUAUUAUAUCCGAGGGACGUCUUUUGACUAGACAGGGUGUAGCUGAGGACAUAAAGGAUCGUUCACCGCAAGCUGCAAGGAGGAAAACGGGAAAAAAGGCACCACAGAAGCAUGGGUGAAAGGAUUCGGUGCCGCCGAGGGGGAGCUCAGUUUGUGGAGAGAGAAGGCAGGUGUCAUAGGAAAGACGACCAAGUGGACGCACAACAGCUCCACCUCCUACUAGAAGCACUUCAUGCCAUAUGGACGGAUAAAAAACUAGCCCGAGAGUGAGUAUAUUGAAUAGCAUUGCAUAAGUUAAUUAGGUUCUUUUCAUUGUAAUUGGAUGUUUCUUUACCCAACAUAAUCAUUAUACAUAAAACAACAUAGCAAGAGUGGUGCGCAAAAAAAUAGAGGGGCUAAGAAGGACCGAUCACGUAGGUCCAGCCCAAAGCAAUCUGAGGAAAAGGAACUCCCAAUUAGCACAGAUGAUGAUGAGGAGAAUGAGCCUCUGGCCAAGAGGAUGUGCCGACUUUAUAACCAGAGGGUUGACCAAUAAAAACCAAGUGCUGAUCCGCAUGAAGGGAACCUCAAUAAGGAUAACGCUGCCCAAGCAACACCUGUCUGUAGCUUGCCCGAUGCAGGAACACUCUCCGUUAGGUCGGUGAAACAUGAAGAAUGGGAGUUUGACGGGCAAGUCUCCUAUGCAAAACUAUUUCAUUCUGUGGUCUAUUUUACUUUUUAAUGAAUUAGGGAUUGCAUCCGUAUACAACUACUUUUUCUCUAACAUAGGUUGAGUUAUUUGCAGUAAUCCCGAUUUCCUUUCGAACCGAGACCCCGAGAGUGAACAAAUAUGGCAAUACCUUGAGCAACUGCAGAACACGAGGCCACUGCAGAUCGUGAUGACAGCCUCUCCGUCUUGCAAGACUCCUAGCCCACCAAGCAAGAAGAUUUCACCGGGCAUGACUCAGACGGAACAGAUGCUCACCCAAUGUACCCCUAUAAAGGUUCAUCCACUGCUAAAAGGGCGAAAGCUGGACGAGGAUGAUGAGGAGCGAUUGCGGCGAUGGGCUGCCAAUCGUUCGUCGGAGCAGAAUCAGGUUGUGGCGGCAUACGAAGGAAAGCAACAUCUAUCAUUACUCCGAGAGGACAUCUGCUCAUUGCUACCCCGGCACUAGGUCACCAGCAACAUCGUUCAUUGGAUGUGUUCAACCUUUAAUGACUCAGAAUUGUUGCGGUUUAAGAAUGACUAUUACUGUAUUCCUCUGAGAAUUUUGGAAAUUGUGUUGCACAAGAGGAACUUGGAUUCCUUCAGGGAGGUUCCUACUGUUAGCUAUGUAGGGCUGGGUCCUCACUUCGGUGAUGAUUCUAUAUUUUUUGACAAGAUAGCAGCUUCCAUGCGAAGAUGGUGGUUUGCCCCAGUCUGUAUCGAUCGUCACUGGUGGUUGUAUGUCUUUGAGAUAUAUCAGAAAAGGCUGUGGGUACUGGAUAGUAUGUAUACAGGAGAACCUAAUAAUGAAAGAUUAAAAAUACAUGCUUAUGCAGGGAGACUCAUUGAAGACAUGGCGAAGGUUACUAUUCCCACAUAUGAGCACACGGAGGACGGUCUACCUCGUUUCUAUCCUACCGUACCAAGACAAGAUAAUGGCUCGGAUUGUGGUGUAUUCGUCAUCAAGUUCAUGCAGUUUUGGGGUUUAGAUAAACCCUUGCAGCCUUGGGACAAGGUGAAGUUAGAUAUAUUAUAACAGUUAAUUUGAACCUCUUUCUAGUAAGUUUCUUUCACGGAUUUAAAAUUACCCUUCCACACAAAAUUGUCAUGCAGGACAUUGUACAGGAGUUUAGGAAUGAGAUCAUACUAGACAUAGUCUUGGUCCUCAUAAUUCACAAAUUGAGAUGGCGCUGCAAGCAUUGGACAGCGCUCCUGUGCGCCGCAACCAGCCUAGGAAAAAGACAAAGGCUGUGAAAUCACCCUUCACAGCACCAAUCACGAGGAGCAUGCUGUAGCGUGUAGGCUUACCCACUAGAAAGCCAGCCAAGGGAGGGAGACAACGGAAGAAGACAGAUGCAUAGGUUCAGGUUUUCAUGUUGCGGAAUUUGUCAAGUUGAUGGUGACAAUCAAGACAACUCCUCUGCAUGGAUGGUGCUCAUGCUAGGCACUAGGAUGUUUCUUUCCUUUGUAAAUUGGAUGGUUCUGAAUAUAUUUUUUGAUCUAUCAUAUUUUAGGAAUUUGAACUUGUAUAUACUUAAUUGAGAAGUGAAUUGCUCGUGUUUUGUUAGAUACUCCUUAGCAAGUUUCGUAUGUUAGGUAUUUCAGGAUUCUCAAGAACUUAGUUUUAACCAGGAUUUUAAUUGGAUGUUGCUACUGAUAGGCACACGGAUGUUACUUUUCCUUGUAAGUUGGAUGAUUCUGAAUCUGCUUCAUCA